Long non-coding RNA from Mus musculus (house mouse), 504 nucleotides. RefSeq annotates it as predicted gene, 40768. NCBI's taxonomy places the organism in Eukaryota, Metazoa, Chordata, Mammalia, Rodentia, Muridae. The record is from RefSeq and is a predicted model, not a curated record. The transcript has 3 exons.
GAAGGAUCUCCUAUCGGCUGGAUUUCACGACACAUAGCAUCACACCAGCACCCAGAAAUCUGUGGGUUAACAGAAGCAACUGUGCCCGGAUGGUUGUGCAGUUAAAACUCUCUGCCUGUUGUCUUUCUACUCAGAAGGCAGUUUGGCGAGACUUUCUGUCUAGCAUGCCCACUUCCUUCUUGCACCUUAGACUGCUCCAGUGCCUCCUUGGAAUGAGCGUUUCCUGUGUAGGAGUCUAAAGCCAGCCUGACAGUUCCCCCGGGAAGUGGCCUCAAAUGCAGACCUGGCUAUAGCCGGUCUAAUGAAGAACGCUGCAAAGCAGUGGAUGUUCCAGUUCCCAGAUGUUUUUGUACAGGAAUUUCCAGAGCUGCUUGUAUCCUUCCAGAGUUUCUGGUAUCGUUUCCUCUAAAGCCAGAACCAUGUGGCCGAAGCUGCCAAGUUUGUGUGCUUGCUGGGGCUGGAACCUGGCCCCCUUGGUCAAAUACAUUUUCCUUCACUGCUUCA